ACUGUUCAGUAACACGUGGAUAACCUGCCCUGCGGUGGGAAAUAACCCCGGGAAACUGGGGAUAAUGUCCCAUAGGCUACAGAUGCUGGAAUGCUCUGUAACUCAAAGAUUUAUCGCCACGGGAUGGGUCUGCGGCCGAUUAGGUAGUUGUUGGGGUAACGGCCCAACAAGCCUUUGAUCGGUACGGGUUGUGGGAGCAAGAGCCCGGAGAUGGAUUCUGAGACACGAAUCCAGGCCCUACGGGGCGCAGCAGGCGCGAAAACUUUACAAUGCGGGAAACCGUGAUAAGGGAACUCCGAGUGUCCGUAAAUGCGGACUGUCCGUAUGUUUAAAAAGCAUGCGAAGAAAGGGCCGGGCAAGACCGGUGCCAGCCGCCGCGGUAAUACCGGCGGCUCGAGUGGUGGCCACUAUUACUGGGCUUAAAGCGUUCGUAGCUGGGUUGUUAAGUUUCUUGGGAAAUCUACCGGCUUAACCGAUAGGCGUCCAAGGGAUACUAGCAAUCUAGGGACCGGGAGAGGUGAGGGGUACUUCAGGGGUAGGAGUGAAAUCCUGUAAUCCUUGGGGGACCACCUGUGGCGAAGGCGCCUCACCAGAACGGCUCCGACAGUGAGGGACGAAAGCUGGGGGGAGCAAACCGGAUUAGAUACCCGGGUAGUCCCAGCCGUAAACGAUGCGCGUUAGGUGUAUCGAUGACCACGAGUCAUCGAGGUGCCGAAGGGAAACCGUGAAACGCGCCGCCUGGGAAGUACGGUCGCAAGGGCUGAAACUUAAAGGAAUUGGCGGGGGAGCAC
RNAcentral lists this ribosomal RNA (791 nucleotides) under uncultured archaeon. Its description in RNAcentral is "bacterial SSU rRNA". It matches the Rfam family "Archaeal small subunit ribosomal RNA", at positions 85 to 879 of the family's 1478-position model. The record is from RNAcentral.